UUUUUGUUUCUAGUCCCCCCAUAAGUUGAAAUUUGCCUUGAAAGCUAGCUUAUGGCUCGGUUCAUAAACAAGUAAAGCCGAACUGGGUUUGAUAGUAGCCAUAACUCUUAUUUUCAACAGGAUAAAUCAUUAAAAAUGAAUAAUUUAUUAUGUAACAAGAGAUCUCAAAUAAAGAAUAGUAUAAUAUAUCACUAUAUAUAAAUAGUAUAAUUCUCAGUGUCCAUCCAAAAAUAAAUAAAAAAUAAAAUAGUAUUCAUACAAAACUCAGUUUGUAUGAUGUACGAUCUCAACGAAUCGUAAGGAGCCGAUGGAGAACCAUGGGCAAAUAAUCUAGUUCUUGAUGAGGACCAAGAGAGACAAAACCAAAGAAGAACCCACAACAGCGGCAGAAACCGGCAAGGUGUAUCCUGCACCGUGGUCCGGCGCCGGGGCAGGCGACGGAGACAUUCCGAACUCAUCCUGAGCCAUUGCAGCAGAACAAAUUGCCAUCACGGCUACGAACAUGAACACAGCCCUCAACAUUGUCAUUUCCAUAUGUAUUUCAAAAAACAGAACAAUUGAGAGAAAUUAGAAAAGAAUAGUUCAAGAAAAUUGUGUUCGUUUUCUUGGUCCUUGAGUUGGGUUUAUAUAUUGCAUUUAAAGCCGUGUGGGGUCCCAAAAAACAAUGACAGCUAGUGACUAGGGACACGACACGCAGCGGCGCCGCCAUGGUAGGUUGGCUGCGACACGUUUCUUGGGUUGGCGAGGCGAGGCAAGGCUGUUAACCUAACUUUCUUAGUCUCCAAGGGAAGCCUCUAUAAGUCGGUAUGUACGAUAACUCAGUCAAGGUGGACUUCGAUUAUUAGCAAAUUAAACUCUUUUAAGUUAUUUUAGUCUUCCUUGUGACAAUACUUAACUCAUAUUUUAAGAGAAUCUUGUCGAAUAAAGUGAAUCAAAUACUCUUUACAAUACAAAACUAUCCAUCUCCUAGCCAUAAUUAUUAAGUAUUAAAAUAUCUCAAGAAAAUAUGAUUUUAAAUAAUUAGUUUCUAUGAAUAUAUCAACAACAAAUCUAUGGUCUGUUUGGGAGCGAUUUUUUCUCCCAAAAAAUUGAUUUUGAACCUUUAUUUCACUAUUUCAGCCGUCAUAUUUGACUUCUUCUCUUAUAGAUAGAUCCCACUUUUCUCUUAACGGUCAAAAAAUCAAUUCUCAAAAUCACUCCCAAAUAGGCUCCUAAUAUUUAUAAAGUGCUUGUUUGAAUUUUCUUGACCUUAAAAAAUGGUCCAACGGAAUUCCGACCAUCUCCCCUCCACGUAGGUGUCAUUUACGCACUCGAACAUUCCCAUUAGGAAGCAAAGGCCGCUGGCCGAAAACAAGUCUAACGAUCGUUUGCACUCCGAUAAUCAAAUCAAUAACCAAAUAAGAGAUAAUAUAAAUGCAAGAGAAGGAAAUGAGAUUUAGUUAGGGUUAGAGUGACAUACCAUGAUUGUGAAUGGACUCGCAAAUAUGUAGGAGGCAAAUGGGCCAAGUGAGCUAGUGGGCUGGACCCAAGCCUAGGUUGCUUGAUUAAUUGGCCCAAUCCAAUUAAACAAUCGAUGUCGAGUUAGUCAAUGUAGGACCCUUCCUUCACGAGCAUGCAAUAUAAUAAAUAGAUAUAACAUAUUGUGAUAUCAGUAUCUUAAUGUCCUUAUAUUAUUAUUACAAGCAUAUACAUUAUAUUAUUGUUGCAAAAUACACGUCAUAUCAUUGUUUUGGCUAGAAUUAGUCCCAACGAUAUCCAUUUCUAUUAUGAAAAUUGAAAUUUAUCAUAUUCAAAGUAAAGAAAGGAAUAAGGCUAAUUGGCACAGAACGUCCCCACCUUUCAAAUUUAUUGUGAAAAGCAUCCAUACCUUUUAUUUUUUGACAUUUUUGCCCUUACCUUCCCCUUCCUUUGCGCAGAAGGUCCUUUUUAUCAAUUUUGGACAAUUUUACCCUUCAUUCAAAUAAAACAAAAAGAAAAGAAAAAGAACUAAUUGCAACUAUAGUCCCAAAAUUUUCAAAAAAUUACAAAUCAAUCACAAUUUUCAAAUAACUAGUACCAACACUUUUUUCUUCUAUUUUUUAAGUUUUUUCAUUUUCAUUGGCUAUGAUUCAAAAAUUGUGAAAUGAUAAAAGUAAAAGCAAUAUUCAUAUCAAACUUUUGUAACUUCAAAGCUAUCUUCACUUCGUGAUGGAGCCAUGGCCUUUUCAAUCUAAUUCUAAUACAAAUUCCCCGCAAAAUUUCCAACUCAAUGGCCAGCUAUGGUGGCUGGAAGAAACAUGAAAUCAGUGGUGAAGACAGCUACAACGACAAAAUAAAGACACUAACAUUUUAAGGGCUCGCAAUUGGGAAUGAUUCAACAAUGCAACUUUUGAAUCAAUUUGCUUGUGAAUUAGAUAAAAUGAACAAAAUUCAACAUUGAAAGCCAGCAGAAUACCAGAAAGAGAGAGAGAGAGAGAAUCAGAUAGGGUUUGGUGAUCUAGCCAUCCUGGAAAUAUCCUUUUUUUUUUUCAAUAAAUAUAUGUAGAUUUGAACUGCGUAAAGUUCACAUUCCAAAAACUCCAGUAAAUUAAUAGUAUAAGUUUUCACUCCACAUUCAACAAGUCAAUAUCAUUUAUUUCCUCAACAAAACCAACUACACAAGUUUGACGAUUCCAACACAGAACCAGAAUAGAAAAUCAGAAAAUUAAAACCACACCCCAGGUAAUAUCAACCUUUCUAAUCACAUUCAGUGUGUUGAGUCUGUGAAGAAUCGAAUUCAAAGUCGUUCUAGUGCUUUCCGGUGGGCCCAUGUCUCGAUGGUGAGAUCAAACUUGGCAUUGAGACCUGCUCCAAGGAUAACGAUUGUGAGGAAGCCGAUGACAUGGUAGGACAACUCCCAGUCCUCCCACUUUCAAGAUUGUCCUGGCGACGGUGGUGAAUAGGUAUCCCUUGGGGCAUUCCUCAUGACCCGACUUGCCUACCAGUGAGUCUUUGGAUCUAAAUUCCACACCCAUCUCGGAAGUGGGAAUAUCCUCAUUAUACAUUAUAUAGGAACAGGGCCGGUCCUGUGAUUGUCAGGGCCCGAGGCGAAGUUUCUAAAUUAGGCCCCCAAAAAAAUUGACCUUGUUAGCCACUGCCUGCUGAUUGUGGCGAAGAACAAAGAAGAGGAGAAGACGGGCACAAAAGAGAAGGAAAAAGAGAAAAACCCCAAUUCAAAAGAAAAAAAAAAAAAAAAUAAAUAAAUAAAAAAAAAGUUUGAGGGGAUAUGCUAGGAUAUUCAUGGGUUUUACAAAUUGUGAAUAAUUUGAAAUUUUUUGAAAAUUUUGGGACUACAGUUGGAAUUAAUUUUUAUUUUUUAUUUUUUAUUUUUUUUGUUUUAUUUGAAUGGAGGGUAAAAUCGUCCAGAACUAAUGAAAAUGACCUUAUGUGCAAAGAAAUGUGGAAGGUACGGGCAAAAAUGUCAAAUAAAAGAUAUGGACGUUUUCCACAAUAAACUUAAAAGAUGUGGACGUUUUGUACCAAUUACCCAAAGGAAUAACAACGAAUAUGCUUAUUCCAAUCAUUUAUACAUCCGUUGUAUAAAUUUAUUCCAUUUAUAGAAAUAUUAGUCUUGUGGAAGUAUGUGCACUUCCAUAUUAUAAGAAAUAUUGCAAUCUCAUCAUCACAACAUGAAUUGCCACUACCACAAUGAAAUUAAACAAUGGCCGAAACUUGCACCUUGAACCUCCCAAACUAAUAGCAAUAACCAACACAAAUGAAAGAUGGUCACUCACAUGUUCCCGAAACCCAUUGUUAAAUAGGUAAAGAAGGAAGAAAUUAAAGUUGGUUUGGCAGCCUUCUUCCACUAAUGGCCACUGGGGUAAGCACAACCAUUUAUACAGAGAAAUAUUCACAUGAGGUAAAACAAGACCAAAGUUAGUCAUUAAUUUGAAUAUCGAGUCUAUUUCAUUUUAACAAACCCAAUUUAGAGAAUAUUUUACUAUCAUUAUUCUCUCCAAAGUAAGCAUCUAUUCACAUGCUAUUCGCCAUAUUUCAAAAAAAGGAAUAGAUACAAUGCUUUAAAAAUUAAACUGCCUUGGCAUGACAAAAGAACUCAAGCCCUUUCAUAAUUAAAUCUUUAAAACAAACUGAAUUCUUAGAAUUUAAUCGACAGGUGAACAAAUAAGACUUAAUCAAAAUAACGCCCAAUGGAGCAUAACCGUUAAAAUGGUACGAACAGUAAAUAAUUAAUGCAAUAACAUAUUUAAAUCUCGCACAUACCAUUCUAUAGUCAGACAUAUAAAACAGAUUUUAUAUGUUACCAAGCCAUAUAAUCAAAUCAUGUAACUUAUUUAACAUAAUAUAAAAUGCACAAAAAUUAUCGUUUUAAAAUUGUUGGAAAAAUAGACAUGCAUAAAUUAUAUUCAAAUAGCAUACAUUUUAUAUGCAUAAAUUCGGACAUAAUUUUUAAUUUCUAAAAUCGAAUACGUAAAGCAGAAAUGAGAAAUGCAUGUAUAUGAAUUUGGUCGAUACAAGAGUUCGACUCUUUUUCCUUAAGAGGAUAAUGCUACACACGAGUGCUAACGAUUUUCCAUCAUUUGUCUCCCAGGAUACAACGAUCGCAUCUUGUACUAGGAGCACUCCAAAUUACGUAGACCAAUGAACCUAUUUAUAUUUUGAACACUCUUUAUAUGAAACUUGACUCUAAAUAAAUGCAGAAUUUUGAAAGGAAUAUGUAUUAGUAUGAUAAUGUAAUCAUGAAGUGAAUGAACGAAUAAAAACAAACACAUUGGAUCCAUAUACAGAUGUUGAAAAGAUUGUCGCAAAUGACACAACCUAUGGAUGAGACGUAACUAUUGAAAUUAGUCUCUAUAUUUGAAGAGAUACAUUUAUUGAAAAAUAAUAACGUCAAAAGUCGCAAUCUUUCAUAUAGAAAGAUACAUUUUCAACAAAACAAUUCACUUAUUUAAGUGACUUAAAUUUGACUUAAUUUUUCAUUUACCAAAUAACAAUUUUCACUUAACUAAAUAAGAAUUGGUUAAAACCAAUUUCAUAUCCAAAAUUCCAACAAGAAGGACACAACUUCUUUGGAAUCGCGGCAAUGUGCAGCAACCAAAAAUCGAAGUCUUCAUAUGCCUUCACCCUAUUCGAUAUUGUAUUAUAAAACUUUGCGGCUCUUUUUCAGGUCUAUCGUUAGUGCCUAUUAGAUGGGAUUUAAUUAAUGUUGCCCACACUCGGGCUAAAUAUACAUUUGGCCCCUAGCUUAAAAAGUGAAAAAAUAAUAUAAGUAAAAAUUAAUAAUUAAUUUUAAUUACACGUUUUAUGGGACUUGCUAAUUUUUAAUAACUUAUUUUAUUAACUUUCUCAAAAUUUAUUAAAAAUUUAAUUUUUAUGUAUACCAAAGAGGGCUCGGGGAUUAAUAAUUGUAAUAAUGUUGUCUGUUAUCUGCUGCUUGGGAACAAAGGUACUUUGUAACGGGGUUAUAAUAUCCGGUACAUGUUUUAGUCGAUUUCCUAAGGUCUUCGCAACUGCCUUGUAUAUUACAUUGAAUAGAAUUAUCGUUUUGUAUUCAAUGAUGCUUCUCGCACAUUUAACUUUUAGGAUUAGCACCAAUGAAGUGUUAUUAGCUGAUUUAAGAUACAUGUCACCAUUCAGAACGUCCAAGCAGAGUUUUGUAACAUUAAGAUCAACAAUUUCCCAAUUCCAUUUAUAGAAUGUUUUAUAAAAUUCGUACAAGCAGGGGUUAAAUUCAUCAACGACUAUCAAUUUUCAUACUUAGUGUCACAAUGGUCAAUCAAUUUGAUUUUGUUUUACCAUCACUACCCAAUUUUAUACUUAGUGUCACCAUGAUCACUCAAUUUGAUUUUAUUUCAUUAUGACUACUCAAUUUCAUAUAACAUUUCACCAAGAUCAUAGACACCCGGCGUCUUUUCACUAAUUUUAAAGGGAAAAACGACAACUUUUAAUUAUAUGUAUUAUAAAAUUAAAAGUAAAAUAAAACUUAUUUUUAAAAAAAUUACUUAGAAAAAAAAUAAAAUAAAAAGUUAUUUAAAAAAGGUCACUUAGAAAAAUAAAAUAAAAUAAAAACUUAUUUAAAAAUGUUUUUAAAAUGAAAACACUUUUAAAUUAUUUUUUUCGAAUUUAUUUUAUAUAUAAAAUGCAAAGUUGCAAUUUUACUCCUUUAAAAUUAGUGAAAAUUGUGAAAAGAAGAUUGCAAAGAUGGAAUUGAAUUACCUAGAAAACGAAUUUUAGGGAAUUGAAUUGCCUAAAAUUGUUUUCCUGAGUAUUGUAAAUUAUUGUGUUUGAUUGGUAUAAUUUUUCACGUGAAAAAUGUUGAAAUAAAAGUGUUUUUUAGUAUUCGUUUGGUUUUGUUUUAUAUGAAAAUUAUCAACUAAAGGAAUAUAUUUUACUGAUAUUGGGGGAUAAAAUUUGUUUCUAUUGCCAAUACAAAAAAAAAACAAAAAUUUCAAGAAAAUCAUCUAUCUCUUGGUGUUCGUUUGGCUUUGUUUUACAUGGAAAUUGCCACUUAAAGGGAAAUAUUUUUUUUACAAUAAUUCUUAGAAUUUGUUUUCCAUUGCCAACAAAAAAAAUAAUAAUAAUAAUAAUACUAUAGUAGGUAGGAAAACCAAUUUCCCACUAUAUAUGGUGAGAAUUGGUUUUCCCUAAAAAUCAAGAAAAGUCCAAACUUCAAGGAAAUCAAGAAUUCAAAUUCCAUGAAAAAAAAUGUAUCAAACACCUAAAGUUGGAAAACUCAAAUCCAAUUCCAAUUCCAAUUCCAAUUCCAUCUUCCAAUUCCUAUUCCUAUUUCACCCUAUCAAACACGUCAAGUAUAAAAUUCAGUGAUCAUAGGUGAAUUUAACCUAUGGACAGGUUGCCUUGAAAAACCUCAUAUGAAAGAGUGCAUCCCAAACCUUUGAAUCUGAGAAUGGUUCUACUAAGUCGCUAAGAUGAUCUGCGAAUAGGGAUAGAGUCCACUAACCUAGGUGAACAACUCAAAGAAAAAUUCAAAGACCACUCAGGCUGUAUGUCGACCAUUCUCAUGCCAGACACCAUCCCCAUCAACCAAUCUCAUUAUCUAAUUUUUUUUGCCUUCCUACCGACUGCCUUUCUAUGCAACAAUUGUCUAAUAGAGUCAGCUACCCGAGUCAACGGAUCAUUGAUUAUUUCCCUUCCUCUGAUAACCAUAUUGCUCGAACUUGUAGCAACAUUAUAUUUUUUGUACACCUUGUUAAUACCAAGAGGAAAAAUAGCAUAGAGAAAAUUUCAAGGGAUGAAAUCUGAGCAAAACGAAAGAGUAUGGCUAGUCCCCUAAUUUUAUUCAAUAAAAAUACUUGUAUCAAAUCAUCCAUGUCUUGUGCACAAUUUUUUUAAUGCCAUCAUCUUCAUACAUAUUUUCUCCCAAACUCAUCACCUUCCAAGGGGUCGAACCACCACCAAAUGUCCCUUUUUCUUUUAGAACUUCAUAAAAUGCAAUCGUCCAUCUAUCCUCAUAUUUGUUUAUACUUCACCAAUGCAACCACUACCAAUGACAUCUCCAAUUAGUGAGCAAGUUACGUAAGAGAAAAACAUUAUCAAGUGAAUUGCAAAGGCCUCAGGAGGUCAAUUAUCUCAAGUCUUAUUACGACCAGUUCUCAGAAUUUUGACGUCCUAAGGGACUCAUAAUUAUGAGACCCUUAAAACAUAAAAAAAUUUUACAAACAUAAAAAUACUUAAAUAUUUAAAUAAAUCAUAUAUUUACAUUUUAAACAAAGACUUGAUACAAUUCAAAAGCUAAAGUAACAAAUUCAAAUUAUUUUCGAUGAAUCAAACUAUGGACAUUAUGGACUCAUGAAAAAAUUAUUUUCGAUAAAUCAAAUUCAAGUUAUAACUUGUUAAAGUAAGCUAUUGGAUGUGUAAUAUUGCUUUCCAAAUUAAAUCAUAUUCCAUAAUAAUAUUGGACUCAUUUCCUAGAUGUAAUUAAUCAUGUAUAUUAAAGUCAAGAAAAUUUUAUUUUUGAUAAGAUCAAUCUACCAGAAAAUUUAUUUUUAAAUAAAUUUUUAAUUAAUCCAUCUUUUAAAUUUAUACUAAUUUAAAAGGAUUUUUACCAUGGUUUUCAUUUAGAGACCCCAUUAGAUGUGAGGCCUUAAGCCAUUGCCUAGUUGUCUUCAGCUUAGUGCCGGCCUUGAGUCUUUUGAUCUCUUCCUGAUCUGUAAAUUAUAUCGAUAAAGUUUAGACAAGUUACAUUCAACUUUAAAAACGAUCAAAAUUUUUUUUGUUUCUAGUCGCCCAAAGGAUCCAUUGUACGAUAAGUUGGCAUUUGCCUAAGGCGGCAAUCUAGUCCAUGGCACGGUUCGUAAACAGGUCAAGCCGAACUGGAUUCGAUAGUAGCCAUAAUUCUUAUUUCCAACAGGAUAAAUCAUUAAAAAUGAAUAAUUUAUUAUGCAACAAGAACUCUCAAAUAAAGAAUAGUAUAAUGUAUCACUAUAUAUAAAUAGUAUAAUUCUCAGUGUCCAACCAAAAAGUAAAAAUAAAAAAUAGUAUUCAUACAAAACUCAGUUUGUGUGAUGUACGAUCUCCACGAAUCAUAAGGGAACCGAUGAAGAAACAAGGAUAAAUAAUCUAGUUCUUGAUGAGGACCAAGAGAGACAAAACCAACGAAGAACCCACAACAGCGGCAGAAACCGGCAAGGUGUAUCCUGCACCGUGGUCCGGCGUCGGGGCAGGCGACGGAGACAUUCCGAACUCAUCCUGAGCCAUUGCAGCAGAACAAAUUGCCAUCACGGCUACGAACAUGGACACAGCCCUCAACAUUGUCAUUUCCAUGUGUAUUUGAAAAAACAGAACAAUUGAGAGAAAUUAGAAAAUAAUAGUACAAGAAAAUUGUGUGC
Molecule: long non-coding RNA, 8825 nt
Filed under: Olea europaea (common olive)
Lineage: Eukaryota; Viridiplantae; Streptophyta; Magnoliopsida; Lamiales; Oleaceae
Description: long non-coding RNA (OEUR_LNC005860)
Source: RNAcentral